GAUGAAGAACGCAGCGAAAUGCGAUAAGUAAUGUGAAUUGCAGAAUUCAGUGAAUCAUCGAAUCUUUGAACGCACAUUGCGCCCCUUGGUAUUCCGAGGGGCAUGCCUGUUCGAGCGUCAUAUUAACCACUCCUGCUUGCGGGGUCUUGGGCUUCGCCUCCGGGCGGGCCUUAAAAUCAGUGGCGGUGCCGUCGGGCUCUACGCGUAGUAAAUUUUCUCGCGAUAGGGUCCCGGUGGAUGCUUGCCAACAACCCCCAACUUCUUAAGGUUGACCUCGGAUCAGGUAGGGAUACCCGCUGAACUUAAGCAUAUCAAUAAGCGGAGGA
This 326-nucleotide unclassified non-coding RNA is filed under the name soil metagenome. RNAcentral's name for it is "partial contains 5.8S ribosomal RNA, internal transcribed spacer 2, and large subunit ribosomal RNA". The stretch from base 1 to 120 matches the Rfam family "5.8S ribosomal RNA", at positions 35 to 154 of the family's 154-position model. The record is from RNAcentral.